GAUGAACGCUAGCGGCAGGCUUAAUACAUGCAAGUCGUGGGGCAGCAUGAGUAGCAAUACUUGAUGGCGACCGGCAAACGGGUGAGGAACACGUACACAACCUUCCUUCAAGCGGGGAAUAGCCCAGAGAAAUUUGGAUUAAUACCCCAUAAUAUAUUUGAUAAGGCAUCUUAUUAAUAUUAAAGCUUCGGCACUUGAUGAUGGGUGUGCGGCUGAUUAGAUAGUUGGCGGGUAACGGCCCACCAAGUCUACGAUCAGUAGCUGAUGUGAGAGCAUGAUCAGCCACACGGGCACUGAGACACGGGCCCCGAUCCUACGGGAGGCAGCAGUAAGGAAUAUUGGACAAUGGACGAAAGUCUGAUCCAGCCAUGCCGCGUGAAGGA
This 383-nucleotide ribosomal RNA is filed under the name uncultured bacterium. RNAcentral's name for it is "bacterial SSU rRNA". It matches the Rfam family "Bacterial small subunit ribosomal RNA", at positions 28 to 408 of the family's 1533-position model. The record is from RNAcentral.